This 735-nucleotide long non-coding RNA is filed under the name Actinidia chinensis (golden kiwifruit). RNAcentral describes it as "long non-coding RNA (ACHI_LNC004500)". Lineage: Eukaryota; Viridiplantae; Streptophyta; Magnoliopsida; Ericales; Actinidiaceae. The record is from RNAcentral.
UUCGUGCCUCGUGCCCGUGUCCGUGCCCGCUCAGACCGUGCCGUGUCGUGCCGUGCCCAACUUUUACCGUGCCCAAAGCGUGCUCGUGCCGGGUUUUUUCGUGCCGUGCCCGUGCCGUGCCGUGCCGUGCCGGCAAGACCCGCUUGACACCUCUAAACAUUCGUGAGAGCACAGUUUUCUGGAGGUUCCCUGUGUUGAGUUAGGGAGAAGCUUUUCGUCCAAGAAGAGUUGAAGCAAACCCAAAAGAGCAGCAGAACAAUCCCAGCCAUGGAGGAACCUAUAAAUCAAUAAAUCAAACAAUUGAAAUUACCAAUUCCCAAACAAUACCAAACUGCAAAUAACAAGAAACAUUCUAUUAUUUACCCAGAUGUUGUGUGAAGUGGCCCCAUGUCAAUCGCCCCACUUUGGUAUUCUACAAGAUGAACCCUAGAAUGGAUUCCAUCCAUCAGAGGACCCAAAACGAAACCCGAACCGAAUAGCAAGAGAGAGAUCUGCUUUGCUUUCUCAGACUGCAGAAUGGAGCGAAUUUUGAAACAACAGAGGGUUUGGGAUUGGGGAAACAAAUGGAGAGGAACCCAGAUCUAUUAAAGUAACCCUGAACCAUAAAAUUGAGAUAAUUUAUAUAAAUAAAUGUUAAAAUGAAAAAUGAGACAGCAUAAUCAAUCAAGUUAGCAUUUUGGAUCACGUGGUCGCUAAGCAAGUAGAGUACAUGCAUCUUUACAAAACAGGUAUGAG